Triticum aestivum (bread wheat) is the source of this 2958-nucleotide long non-coding RNA. RefSeq lists it as uncharacterized. Lineage: Eukaryota; Viridiplantae; Streptophyta; Magnoliopsida; Poales; Poaceae. The transcript is spliced from 7 exons. The record is from RefSeq and is a predicted model, not a curated record.
CCCUAGCCCCCUUGCCCAAUGCCCCCCGACCCCCACAGCCGCCGCACGGUCUCGCUCCUCCUUCCCUCCCGCCGCAACCUCUCCUUGAUCGUAGCCACCUCCUUCCCACCUCCGCCCGAGCUCCGCCUUCCUCGCCCGCCUCCUCCUCCUUGCCAUCGGCGGAAGCGGUGAGCAUAGGGGCAGCGGCUGGACGCGAUGAGCUUGCCUCUGGCGGUGCUAGGAAGUUGCACGCAAAGGGUGACCCCAUGGAUCCGUCCCUGAUGAAGAGAGAAUAUGGAGGAAGGAUUGAAGGAUAGGGGGAGGUAGGCGUGCUGGGGCGGGAUGGUCUCACCUGCGAUGACAGGGUUGACCGACCGGAGUUAGAUCGAUAACCCGGCUGGCACGGCUCGGCUCCAACUCCCUCUUCCACCUCUCCGAUACCCGACACUCAAAUCUGGCUCUUCUACACACAUCCGUAGCUAUGGAAAGAAAGCUUGUAGUGGAGUGGCUUCCUUUGUAUGAUCUUGGAAGAUGGUCUAUAUUGUUGACUAUGGACUUCAGACCGUUUCUAUUUUCCUCCGUGAACCUACCACUGAUGUUUUGGAGGUGCUUGCUUUGUGUGGAUGACCUCUGAAGCCCAUUAGAAAGCAUGGAAACGGCUAAAGGUUAGCGCAUUUUGAGAAGACAACAGAUCGCCGCCUACUUCCUUAGGCUGACAAUCACCUGCAGGAUAAAGUGCGAUGUUUUGCCUGAGGGGCUGGAGCAGGACCGCAGGAUGAGACAAGAUCAAGGACUGGGCCAACGAGGUCGUCACGCACGAACCAGUGUAGCCCAUUGGCACUGGUAAAGUAGUAUCGGCGGCUCAGGGACAUGAAGUUUCUCAAAACUAACAAAUGCUGCUCUCUGAUAAAUUAGGAGGCUGAAGAUGGUAGCUUACUGAACUCUCAUUUUGGGAAAAAUCUGGAGAUGUGUAGUGCUGAUAAAGAAAUGCAGGUAUGUAUGAGUCUGAUGUUUGCAUCUUGUGACGCUCACAUGCUCGUGCAGCUGCUAUCUGGAUUUGCCACCACCGCCUCAAGUCGCUUCCGCCUGUAAAUCGAGUCACCACCAUGGUAAUUUCUUUUCAGUCCCAACUCUCCUCCUGUCCCCCGCAUUUGCUUGCUACGAGUUCCUUUUGUGUGUGUGCUUGUUGGCUUAGUGACGUGUGUGUUCAGGCACGCAUUGUCUUUGCCUGCCAGGGUGUUGGCUCUGCUACUUGGCCGGUUACAGCGAGUAGGAAGCUGAUAGGAUGGUAUUUCUCCUUCGUCGGCCAAGGAGUUCACACAUCUCUCGGUUCUCUGGGCAUGUCACCAUGGACAAGCAGAGUGGGAGGACACUCUUCUACUGGUUCUUGGAGGCUCAGGCACAGCGUCUCCUUCUCUAGCUCAAUUGGGAUUUCUUACUUACCUCAUUCUCUUGUUUUUCAUUUUUUUACUUAGUCACUCAUUUCUGGAAAGAUUUUGUAGCUAUUAUCUUGAGCUGCUUGUAGUUCAAUAAUGUUUCGGUUGCUACUUGGGGUGCAUACCUGAGAAUACACAUUAUUUUUCAGUUCAAUGCGCAAUAGAUAGCUUUUGGUUGUCGCCAUUAGGACACAAAAGUACUAGAUUUCGAAGUUUUUAAUAGCUCAAAUAUGCUAAUUGCAGAGCAACAUGGCAGUUACAAUGGUUCCAUGUCCUAAUUAGUUCUUUUAUUUCGUUUUGCAGGCGUAUUAUCUUGGAGGUUGUUUCUUAUUUUUACUAUAGAUCAAGUUUCUUUGUUUCCUUUCUAGCUACCUCUGCUGCAUUUUUUUAUAUAUCUUAUAUGCUUUAAAUAUCCUAUAUGCUGUCAUGAUCCUUGCUUCAGUCAUCAUGUUGAUUUUCCAAAUUUGGUUGGGUGUUGUGUUUUUUUGGCCCUUGUGCGCUUUGAUCGAUGUGCUCUGGCUUUGUGACUCUAAUGAUGCACAUGCAAUGGCGGCAUGGGUGGAACGAGAGGAAGGAUGGGAAUCAGCUACUUGCAUUCGCACGGAGGAGGCAACGUCGACUCGAUGGCAUAGUAGAGGAGGCUGGGCUCGUUGUGGAGCUUCUUGAGGCAGCAGGACGUCGGCGAGAGCAUCGCUGCUGGCAACGGCUCGAGUGACCUCUUGAGUAUUUUCUCCAUGAGCACUUGGGACGACACCAACUCCAACAUCAUGUUCUCAGCGCCCGACAGCAAGAAGGCCGAGGUGCUCAGCGACAGCGAUGUCGGCAUGGUCACCAGCUUCUGCAACAUCGACUCCCAGAUUCAGUUAGCCCUCUCGAGCUGGACAUGCCCAGCAUGGAUGACUACAUUCAGCUGCAGCAGGACUCCGCCGACUACAGAGUCCAUGCCAAGCGUGGCUGCACCACUGACCCGCAGAGCAUCGCUUGGGAGGGAAAGAACAACAAGGAUCAAUAAGAGGUUAAGGAGGUUGCAAAGACCUCAUUCCCUACAUGGACAAGGUCACAAGGCCAAUACACAUUCAGGAAAUAUGUGACCAACUUCCCCAAGGUCCCGCAUCGUCUACUCAGGUUAAUUCUCGGUCUACAACCUCCAAAACCUGCAGUUCUAUUUUUAAAAAUGCUUAAGCACCCAUUUCUCUAAGCGUCAGCCUGUCGCUUCGCUUAUGCUUCAUGCUUUCCUGAACAUUGAUUUCUAUCAAACUUGUUUUUUAAGUUUUCAUGCUGAUUACUGAUUGUGGGAGCUGAAUUGUGCUCCGAUGGAAGUGUUAGAGUGUAUCAUUUUUGUAAGCAUAAUCUAUAUCCAUUCCUAUUGGGAACAUACCCAUGUAAGUAUUUGUAAGAAUCCUCUAGGAGCAUGCUACUAGGACUUAUGUAGAUUGGCUAUUCUAGACAUUGGCAUGAGAAUGGUCUGCAUCCUAUAUAUGGUCUUAGUGCGUGUAAAAAAGCACGUGUUAAAUAACUGUCAAGCACAACGGUUUCUAACCAA